This 483-nucleotide ribosomal RNA is filed under the name uncultured bacterium. RNAcentral's name for it is "bacterial SSU rRNA". It matches the Rfam family "Bacterial small subunit ribosomal RNA", at positions 15 to 518 of the family's 1533-position model. The record is from RNAcentral.
GAUCAUGGCGUCAGGAUGAACGCUGGCGGCGUGCUUAACACAUGCAAGUUGCGCGGUGAUCUCAAGAAGUUUCGGACGGAAAGGGAGAGCAGCAGCGGACGGGUGAGUAAAGCACAAGGACUUGUCCCGAAGAGGGGGACAACUGUGGGAAACCACAGCUAAUACCCCAUAAGCCGAGAGGUGAAAGCAGUAAUGCGCUUUAGGAGAGACUUGUGUCCUAUCAGGUAGUUGGUGAGGUAACGGCUCACCAAGCCGAAGACGGGUAGCCGGACUGAGAGGUUGUACGGCCACAUUGGAACUGAGAGACGGUCCAGACUCCUACGGGAGGCAGCAGUGGGGAAUAUUGGGCAAUGGGGGCAACCCUGACCCAGCGACGCCGCGUGAGGGAAGACAGCCUUCGGGUUGUAAACCUCUGUUGCAGGGGAAGAAGAAAGUGACGGUACCCUGCGAGGAAGCUCCGGCAAACUACGUGCCAGCCGCCGC